CUUGUACUCCCUCCGUCCGAAAAUACUUGUCAUUGAAAUUGAUGUAUCUAGAUGUAUUUUAGUUCUAGACACAUCCAUUUUGAUGACAAGUAAUUCCGGACGGAGGGAGUACUUG
Non-coding RNA from Triticum aestivum (bread wheat), 115 nucleotides. The record is from Rfam. Lineage: Eukaryota; Viridiplantae; Streptophyta; Magnoliopsida; Poales; Poaceae.